Molecule: long non-coding RNA, 443 nt
Filed under: Zostera marina
Lineage: Eukaryota; Viridiplantae; Streptophyta; Magnoliopsida; Alismatales; Zosteraceae
Description: long non-coding RNA (ZMAR_LNC000876)
Source: RNAcentral
GAACAACGAUGAUGAGAAUGAAUAUAAUCGCAGCACCCCUGUCGACCUGCUCACUGAUUUGGAAAAAGUCAAUGCCUGGAUCGGUUCGUCUACUCUAGAAUGCAACCCAAAUAAGCCACUUGCAUCCGACGAUUCACCGGCGCAAAACCUGCAGGUAAAUUUUAAUCAUGCAAUUCAAAUUUCCAAUCACCAUGGUUCUGCUUAUAUAUAUAUAUAUUCUUAUUUAUGUUUAUAUAUUUCAGCGGCGAAACACCGGAGGAAUGAGCGAGUUUGAGAUCUGUCAAGACGACGAACCGUUUCAAAAUUUCGGCAUCGAAAAUGAUUGGAAUUUUAGCAACUACGAACAAAUGUUUGGAUUACCAAGCACCAAUAUUCAAUAUUCCGAGAAACUCCAUGAGAUAAUCACAAAGACAGUGUUCACUGAAUCAACUGCCAGUGCAAAC